RNAcentral lists this long non-coding RNA (236 nucleotides) under Medicago truncatula (barrel medic). RNAcentral's name for it is "long non-coding RNA (MTRU_LNC008820)". Lineage: Eukaryota; Viridiplantae; Streptophyta; Magnoliopsida; Fabales; Fabaceae. The record is from RNAcentral.
CCAUUCAACACCCACUUUUUCAAUUCCCAACACUCCACAUCAUUUUCUCUCUCUUAUUCAACACUCAUUCAACUUUUACCCUCUCCAAUGGUUUUUCAUUCAACACUCUACCCCACCACUUUUUAUUUCUUAUUCUUAUUUAAUUUUUGUUUUUAUAAUUACAUAAAAUUAUCGAUUAUAAUUAAAUUAAAAUAAUACAAUUAACUAUUUAUUUUUUAGUAUUUUUGGAAAGAAAA